RNAcentral lists this ribosomal RNA (601 nucleotides) under uncultured bacterium. Its description in RNAcentral is "bacterial SSU rRNA". It matches the Rfam family "Bacterial small subunit ribosomal RNA", at positions 725 to 1330 of the family's 1533-position model. The record is from RNAcentral.
CUCGCUGUAGUGUUACUGACGCUAAAGCUCGAAAGUGCGGGUAUCGAACAGGAUUAGAUACCCUGGUAGUCCGCACGGUAAACGAUGGAUGCCCGCUGUUUGCCCUUCGGGGUGAGUGGCUAAGCGAAAGCGUUAAGCAUCCCACCUGGGGAGUACGCCGGCAACGGUGAAACUCAAAGGAAUUGACGGGGGCCCGCACAAGCGGAGGAACAUGUGGUUUAAUUCGAUGAUACGCGAGGAACCUUACCCGGGCUUGAAUUGCAGAUGACGGAUCUAGAGAUAGUGACUUCCUUCGGGACAUCUGUGAAGGUGCUGCAUGGUUGUCGUCAGCUCGUGCCGUGAGGUGUCGGCUUAAGUGCCAUAACGAGCGCAACCCUUCUCUUCAGUUGCCAUCAGGUUAAGCUGGGCACUCUGGAGACACUGCCACCGUAAGGUGUGAGGAAGGUGGGGAUGACGUCAAAUCAGCACGGCCCUUACGUCCGGGGCUACACACGUGUUACAAUGGCCGGUACAGAAAGUCGGAUGCCCGUAAGGUCAUUCUAAUCAAGAAAGCCGGUCCCAGUUCGGACUGAGGUCUGCAACCCGACCUCACGAAGCUGGA